UGAAACGUGCCCUCUUGUGCACUCAGUCGUACAGAGAGCUUGUCCCUCAGCUCAGCUGGCAGAAAGCAGUCUUCUGGAAUUUUCUGUGUUCUUCAGGAAGGGCACAAUCAGCUGCCCAGAACCAUUAUCUAAAGAAUUGGGACAUAGAAUUGCACACAUUAACCCAGCCUCUCCUCUCUUCCUCCGCCCUCUGACUCAACAAUUGGUGUGGGUCUUGGGAAAAUUAGAAUAUACUACAGCUAUACCUUCCAAACCAAGAGUCAAGUUCUCCUGUGCAUGAACUCAGGCAGACACCAGAGAGAGACCUACCUGGCAACAAGUAUCAAAAGAAAUAAGAUGUAACAAAACAGGUAAAUGUUAACAUUCAGUGUUUCCCAGCGUACUGUAUUUAUUUUCCCCUCCUUGUUUCACUCCCCUUUUGAGACCAAGAAUUGUCAUCUGGAAAAGAAGAAAUUUCCUCUUGGUUUGUUGCAUCAGAGCGUAUAGGAAGGUUUGAAAAAUUUUAGGUAUUUGAAAACUACUGUCUAUUUUUAGAACCACAAACACUGAGUCUGUUUCCCAGAGGUCUUUUGUGGUGCCUUUCAGAUGUUGGCUAUGAAGUCUUUGAAUUCUUAGAGAAAGUAGCUGGGUCUUUUUUUCCUUCCAACAGCUUAUUUUGUCCUUUCAAUUGAAGAGAACACUGUUAUAAACAGCUGUUCCUGCUUCGUACUAGAGCUCAUCUCUACCGUAACAGCUCUGCUGAAAAGAAAAAGAAAAAUGAUCUCCCAGUGUGGAUUCAGUCCUGUGUGAACUUUUGCUUUCCUUUCUUCUGCAAGGCUCUGUCCCUCACCCAGAAUGGGCAGCCUGCCCCUGUCUACCCCGAGAUGUCCUGUGUUACAAGGAUCAAUGACAUGACCUAGCCUUAUCUUGUACUAGGAAAUCAUAGAGCUAUCAAGAGGGCGGAAAAUACCUUUUCUCUCCCGCUCCUCCCUCCAGCCAACUGCAAUCAGCACAAGUUUUACUGUAAAUGCAGAGGUAAGAGGAAAAAGCAGCAGCAGGAGGC
This 1042-nucleotide long non-coding RNA is filed under the name Taeniopygia guttata (zebra finch). RNAcentral describes it as "lncRNA (ENSTGUG00000029137.1)". The record is from RNAcentral. Lineage: Eukaryota; Metazoa; Chordata; Aves; Passeriformes; Estrildidae.